Molecule: ribosomal RNA, 564 nt
Filed under: uncultured bacterium
Lineage: Bacteria
Description: bacterial SSU rRNA
Rfam family: Bacterial small subunit ribosomal RNA
Source: RNAcentral
CCUACGGGAGGCAGCAGUGGGGAAUUUUCCGCAAUGGGCGAAAGCCUGACGGAGCAACGCCGCGUGAGGGAUGAAGGCCUCUGGGCUGUAAACCUCUUUUAUCAAGGAAGAAGAUCUGACAGUACUUGAUGAAUAAGCCACGGCUAAUUCCGUGCCAGCAGCCGCGGUAAUACGGGAGUGGCAAGCGUUAUCCGGAAUUAUUGGGCGUAAAGCGUCCGCAGGCGGUCUGUCAAGUCUGCUGUUAAAGCGUGGAGCUUAACUCCAUUUCGGCAGUGGAAACUGACAGACUAGAGUGUAGUAGGGGCAGAGGGAAUUCCCGGUGUAGCGGUGAAAUGCGUAGAUAUCGGGAAGAACACCAGUGGCGAAGGCGCUCUGCUGGGCCAUAACUGACGCUCAUGGACGAAAGCCAGGGGAGCGAAAGGGAUUAGAUACCCCUGUAGUCCUGGCCGUAAACGAUGAACACUAGGUGUCGGGGGAAUCGACCCCCUCGGUGUCGUAGCCAACGCGUUAAGUGUUCCGCCUGGGGAGUACGCACGCAAGUGUGAAACUCAAAGGAAUUGACGG